AACGAACGCUGGCGGCAUGCCUAACACAUGCAAGUCGAACGAGACCUUCGGGUCUAGUGGCGCACGGGUGCGUAACGCGUGGGAACCUGCCCGUAGGUUCGGAAUAACUCCCCGAAAGGGGUGCUAAUACCGGAUAAUGUCUUCGGACCAAAGAUUUAUCGCCUUUGGAUGGGCCCGCGUUGGAUUAGCUAGUUGGUAGGGUAAAAGCCUACCAAGGCGACGAUGCAUAGGUGGUCGGAGAGGAUGAUCAGCCACACUGGGACUGAGGCACGGCCCAGACUCCUACGGAAGGGAGCAGUGGGGAAUAUUGGACAAUGGGGGAAAGCCUGAUCCAGCAAUGCCGGGUGAGUGAUGAAGGCCUUAGGGUUGUAAAGCUCUUUUACCCGGGAUGAUAAUGACAGUACCGGGAGAAUAAGCUCCGGCUAACUACGUG
RNAcentral lists this ribosomal RNA (433 nucleotides) under uncultured bacterium. Its description in RNAcentral is "partial 16S ribosomal RNA". It matches the Rfam family "Bacterial small subunit ribosomal RNA", at positions 29 to 507 of the family's 1533-position model. The record is from RNAcentral.